ACACCGUUGGUGAAGUGGUUAUCAUGCUUGCCUUCCAUCGUCCUUGUAAAAGAUGUCUGUUAGCAAGCGGCUCGGGUUCGAUUCCCGAACGGUGUA
RNAcentral lists this transfer RNA (96 nucleotides) under Lentinula raphanica. It matches the Rfam family "tRNA". From Rfam's summary of the family: Transfer RNA (tRNA) molecules are approximately 80 nucleotides in length. Their secondary structure includes four short double-helical elements and three loops (D, anti-codon, and T loops). The record is from Rfam by way of RNAcentral. Lineage: Eukaryota; Fungi; Basidiomycota; Agaricomycetes; Agaricales; Omphalotaceae.